CAGUCGCCACGGGAAUACGAAGGGGGCUAGCGUUGUUCGGAAUCACUGGGCGUAAAGGGUGCGUAGGCGGGAUCUUAAGUCAGGGGUGAAAUCCCGAGGCUCAACCUCGGAACUGCCUUUGAUACUGGGGUCCUUGAGUCCGGAAGAGGUGAGUGGAACUGCGAGUGUAGAGGUGAAAUUCGUAGAUAUUCGCAAGAACACCGGUGGCGAAGGCGGCUCACUGGUCCGGAACUGACGCUGAGGCACGACAGCGUGGGGAGCAAACAGGAUUAGAUACCCGUGUAGUCCCUGUCUCUUAUAC
Molecule: ribosomal RNA, 301 nt
Filed under: uncultured bacterium
Lineage: Bacteria
Description: partial 16S ribosomal RNA
Rfam family: Bacterial small subunit ribosomal RNA
Source: RNAcentral